This 345-nucleotide unclassified non-coding RNA is filed under the name soil metagenome. RNAcentral's name for it is "partial contains 5.8S ribosomal RNA, internal transcribed spacer 2, and large subunit ribosomal RNA". The stretch from base 1 to 120 matches the Rfam family "5.8S ribosomal RNA", at positions 35 to 154 of the family's 154-position model. The record is from RNAcentral.
GAUGACGAACGCAGCGAAAUGCGAUACGUAAUGUGAAUUGCAGAAUUCAGUGAAUCAUCGAGUCUUUGAACGCACAUUGCGCCCCCUGGUAUUCCGGGGGGCAUGCCUGUCCGAGCGUCAUUGCUGCCCUCAAGCACGGCUUGUGUGUUGGGCCUCCGUCCUCCUCCCGGGGGACGGGCCCGAAAGGCAGCGGCGGCACCGCGUCCGGUCCUCGAGCGUAUGGGGCUUCGUCACCCGCUCUUGUAGGCCCGGCCGGCGCUUGCCGACACAUCAAUCUUUUUUCCAGGUUGACCUCGGAUCAGGUAGGGAUACCCGCUGAACUUAAGCGUAUCAAUAAGCGGAGGA